Molecule: ribosomal RNA, 497 nt
Filed under: uncultured bacterium
Lineage: Bacteria
Description: partial 16S ribosomal RNA
Rfam family: Bacterial small subunit ribosomal RNA
Source: RNAcentral
GAUGAACGCUGGCGGCGUGCCUAAUACAUGCAAGUCGAGCGAACAGACGAGGAGCUUGCUCCUCUGACGUUAGCGGCGGACGGGUGAGUAACACGUGGAUAACCUACCUAUAAGACUUGGAUAACUUCGGGAAACCGGAGCUAAUACCGGAUAAUAUAUUGAACCGCAUGGUUCAAUAGUGAAAGACGGUUUUGCUGUCACUUAUAGAUGGAUCCGCGCCGCAUUAGCUAGUUGGUAAGGUAACGGCUUACCAAGGCAACGAUGCGUAGCCGACCUGAGAGGAUGAUCGGCCACACUGGAACUGAGACACGGUCCAGACUCCUACGGGAGGCAGCAGUAGGGAAUCUUCCGCAAAGGGCGAAAGCCUGACGGAGCAACGCCGCGUGAGUGAUGAAGGUCUUCGGAUCGUAAAACUCUGUUAUUAGGGAAGAAAAAAUGUGUAAGUAACUAUGCACGUCUUGACGGUACCUAAUCAGAAAGCCACGGCUAACUACGUG